CCUCAAGUGACCGGAGAGGCGCAAAAACCUCACCGAGCUCUGUCCCUUUUAUUUGGCACUGAAUGGAAUAAAGUAGCUUUUUUUCUUCACAGGCAAUCCUCAGCGUGGAUGACUUCACGUUGGUGAAAACAAAGGAUACAGGAUUCUUGAAGAGGGAACUGAAGAACAAGGGAGAGCAAUAAGGGUAGGUGCAGAGAUUUGCAAGAACAUUCGUUAUGAUCCAGUGCAUUUUGACCUAAAGAGGAGACAACAAACCAGCCUGGUAUGAGAGACUGUUAUGCACACACACACACACACACACACACACACACACACUUAGGUGAAGAGAAACACACUCAUUUGUUAAACAGAGCAAACACAUCACUCUUUGCUAAGUAGAAGUUUCACUCAUCUCUCCCCCCUCGUUCUCUCAUCUGUCCAUGUCAUCCCUCACUACCCCACUUUCACAUCAGCCAUCAGGUAGUUACACACACACACAUACACACACAUACACACUCCUUCACAUCAGCCAUCAGUUUGUCCGACAGACAUAAAUGUACAUCUUCUCAUUCACGCACAGACCAACUGCUUUACAUCACACGUCACCUAAGAGUCACACACUCACUCACACACACACACACACACACACACACACACACACAUCAGUUAUAUCUUUUAGGCUGAAGGAGAGAGGGGGUGUCAGCAGCAGGAGGGGUUGACAGGAGAGAAGAGGAAGUACACAGGAAGUACAUUAGUUAUCACUCCCAUGUCUUCUCCACCUUUUCACUUCUUAUCACCACCCGAUGUCUCAGACCCCAGUCGAGCUGCUUCUCCUUCUCAUCCCACCCCUUUCCUUUUCUCUUUCUGUCUCUCUCUCUUUCUCACACACACGCCUCUAAAAAUGACUUCCGUGCUCCAUUUUAGUGUCGGGCCCUGGGAUCUAGAUGACACUUGGCAAGCCGUAGAAGCCGCAAGACAACUGGAUGAAAUAUUUAAAUGAAAGACGGCAGGGGUAGAAGAGGUGAAGAAAGGAGGGGGGGAAGACAGAGAAAAAGGAAUAUAGGACAGAGGACGAGGGAAGGAGAGAGUGACGAUUUCAGAUGGUGAGCAGAAUGUGAAGGAUUUCUUUUCUUGGCAAAGAGAGGGCCGUGUGACAAGAAGUGCAGAUGAAUUGGCUUUCACCUACAGAGUAGCCUGAAGAGAAAUAUACCAAUAUAGUAUGAGAUCACAUCGCUUUGUCUUGGAAUCAUCAGGAAGUCUCAGUAUGUGUCAUAGUACUUUCAGCACGGUGCCAGCUCAGCUGCUUAGAGGAGGACAAGAACCUUAAACAUAAUCAAAUGAAAUGGAACUUUGUUACAGAGUGAUUGCAACUUUAGAAUUACAAAGCUCAAUCUGACUUUUUUUUUCACACUAGCAGCUCUGUGAAGGCCCAGACACACCAAACUUACAUCAAGAACUAGUGGUGACAAAGGUCGACUGUUUGCAUCGCCUCACGUCGUCUGUGUCUGUGCCAAAAAGUUGCACUUGAACACACCACAAAAUCUACAGCCAACAGUCAGCUAGCAUGUACAUUCUGUGUCUGUGUGAGAGGAAAUAACUCUCCAUAACAGCAGGUGGCGGUAGUCUGUAUUCGUCAUUCAGAAAAGGAAACUGGAAGAGUGACUGCACGGAUUUAAGAUGCUAGUUAGUAGUUAGCAUAUUACCAACUCAGCCCGAUGUCGAAAGGACAGAUGAUAUUUACCAUGCACUAACGAACAAUAAAACAAACAAUUAUGAACCGUUUUUGCAACAGAGCUCAAUGGCUAAAAAAAAAAAUAACCUUAUCUAAUAUACAUGUAACAGGUCUUGAUUUCAGGCACUCUUGACUUUAGUCGUUUGUAGCUUUCCUUAUUUCUGUUUCUCUUUUUGUGCACUGAACUGCCAACCCGAGGCCAAAAAGCAGCCAAGAAGGGCUGACUUGUGUCCACCGUGCGGGACAAACUGCAAAAACUAGGGUGGUAGAUGUUCACUGAUGGCCCAACUUUGACCAAUGGCUGACAGUCAGCCUGGUGUAUCAGGGCCUUAAGGCUUUAUUAAAUACUAAAUGUUAAGGCUAGCUGACAAACCUUAAUGUGCCAUCAUGCUACUAAUUAAUAGCACUAAACACAAAGUACAAUUCAGGCUGAUUUGCAGAUGUAUGGCCAUAAAUAAAGCUAAAAAUCUGAGCUGAUGAUGGUGCUAGAACAAAAGUCAAAGGCUGACACUUUUGGUCAGUUGGUUGAUUGGUUGGUCGAUAUGCUCUUGUUGGACCGAACUCUUAUUGAUCAGACAAUCACCAGUGUUACUUUUAUAAGGGGCUGUGUGUCCAUCAAAGCUUUUUACCCCAGUUUGGAGUACUAGAGCCUUUUAAAGGUGCAGCAAUUUUUCAGCAGAGACACUUUGGCUGAGUGUGGUCACUAUGAUUCAGAAUAUCCACAGAUGAAAAGAUGUGGACGCAAGGUAAAAUACUUGAUCUGGCCCUUGCCUUGGAUGAAGGAAAGGCUGAGGCAUGCAGGGAGAGAGGACGAACCCGUCAGUCUAUGUGGCCAGCAGUUUUCAUUUUCCUCCAUUGCUGCUGUUGUUCAGCACGUGUACCUGUAGGAUGUAGAGGUUGGUCUUUGUGUUAUUUGCCUUCCUCCACUAUGAUGAUUGGAUGGUUGGGUGAAAAGCAACGGUUACAAGUGCAGCGUUUCACACAAAUUUGAACAUUUUUCAACUCUCAGUGACCAGAAAUUAUUAUCAAUAAAAGUAAAUGAAUAAACAAAAAAUCAUUAGCUCAGUUAGAUCCUCCACUAUCUAGUCCCUCACUUCAAUUUCUGGAAACCAUGAGAGCUUAAGUAUAAUUCAUUCAUCAGUACGGGCACAGUCGUGUUAAACAAGAGAGACGAAAACAAGUGGUGACUUUGAGGCGGUCAUCAAGUCCAAAUAUGUGUCCAUUCCUCUAUUAUGUAGUGUCCAAUGUAUUCCCUCAGUCCGUCAGGGUCCACUGAUCAAAAGGAUCAACAGUUCUCAUUAAAUCAAUCCAUGUUGUGAAUAUUGUCAUGCGGAAUCCAUUGCUAGCUGAGUUCUAACUUUGUUGAUCAAAUGGAUUGCAGUUCUUCCAAAGUAAACAAUAUUUUCUCGUCUUCCUGCACUGUGUUGUUAGAUAUUCUUUUUUUCCUUCAGUAUUUUGCUGUCUAUAAAAUAAAAGUUUCCCCAAACAUUUCUGUGUAUUUUUCACCCUGAGACAGACCCUGGUGUACAGCAUGUACUCUCAGUUUGGAAGGCCGGUGGGCUCUGUCACAUAUCUUUCCAAGCACUGUACAUAUGUUAAAGGCCUUUUUCUCAAAAUCAUGAUUUGAUGACAGUCAUUAUGUAAAGUUCCAUAUCUUACUUAAUAUUUGGAGUGCAAAAACAAUAUUUAUAUCAUUAGAAAGCUUAGAAUAUUCUCUGUUCAAAAUGUCUUUUCGGGUCAAUGUGACCAAAAAUUGGUAGAGCAAGUUGCAAAUGAGUUAAUCAUGACUCAGUUGUGACAAGUUAUUGACAUUGCAUGGUAUUAUUUUUAGUUUUAUGAUUUAAUGGCUCCACAAUCUAAAAACAGAAAAGGUGUUAUCUUCAAAGUCAUUCUAUAACUUUGUUCAACAAGUUCCAACUGUAAAGCCAACCACUGCUCGGUUAGUAUACUUGACUAAUGAAGUCCCGCCUCUUCCUGCCUGCCCUCACUGCUUUUGACAUUAAAUAAGAGCUAAAAUUACAGUAAAACGUUGCAUGAGUAGGAGUUUUGCAAGUUUGAUAUGAACUUUAACUCAUCUUCUGCUGCAGACACAAAAUGAAACAGUGACUGCAUUCAGAGCUCAGACACUGACAGUGAUGACCCAAGCUUGUCCAGGCAAAAACAGUCAUGUAAACUGGGCAAGAAAAAAAACACCAAAAAGAAAAAACGAUGAUGAAUUGAAAAAAACCCCAAAAAAAACCCAACAUAGAACAAGGACACAAAAGAAUCAUCAGAAUUAGGAGAGAAACAUUUUAUGACUUUGUUGUGUAGUUUUUAAUUAAGUUUAUUCAAAAUGUGUAUCUUACAUUAUUACUAAUUUUAAUAACUUGUACAUUAUGUUUUUUUUUUUUUAAAAAAAAAAACAAA
This is a long non-coding RNA of Epinephelus lanceolatus (giant grouper), 4117 nucleotides long. RefSeq lists it as uncharacterized. The record is from RefSeq and is a predicted model, not a curated record. Lineage: Eukaryota; Metazoa; Chordata; Actinopteri; Perciformes; Serranidae.